UGUCAGGCGGGCAGUUUGACUGGGGCGGUCGCCUCCUAAAAGGUAACGGAGGCGCUCAAAGGUUCCCUCAGAAUGGUUGGAAAUCAUUCAUAGAGUGUAAAGGCAUAAGGGAGCUUGACUGCGAGACCUACAAGUCGAGCAGGGUCGAAAGACGGACUUAGUGAUCCGGUGGUUCCGCAUGGAAGGGCCAUCGCUCAACGGAUAAAAGCUACCCCGGGGAUAACAGGCUUAUCUCCCCC
This 239-nucleotide ribosomal RNA is filed under the name Staphylococcus aureus. Its description in RNAcentral is "partial 23S ribosomal RNA". It matches the Rfam family "Bacterial large subunit ribosomal RNA", at positions 2255 to 2493 of the family's 2925-position model. The record is from RNAcentral. Lineage: Bacteria; Bacillati; Bacillota; Bacilli; Caryophanales; Staphylococcaceae.